ACGGAACUUUUCGGAGUUCAGUGGCGGACGGGUGAGUAACGCGUGAGAAUCUGCCUUCUGGUCGGGGACAACCAUUGGAAACGGUGGCUAAUACCGGAUGAGCCUACGGGUAAAAGAUUUAUUGCCAGAAGAGGAGCUCGCGUCUGAUUAGCUAGUUGGUGAGGUAAAGGCUCACCAAGGCAUCGAUCAGUAGCUGGUCUGAGAGGAUGACCAGCCACACUGGGACUGAGACACGGCCCAGACUCCUACGGGAGGCAGCAGUGGGGAAUUUUCCGCAAUGGGCGAAAGCCUGACGGAGCAAGACCGCGUGAGGGAGGAAGGCUCUUGGGUUGUAAACCUCUUUUCUUGGGGAAGAAAAAAAUGACGGUACCCAAGGAAUCAGCAUCGGCUAACUCCGUGCCAGCAGCCGCGGUAAUACGGAGGAUGCAAGCGUUAUCCGGAAUUAUUGGGCGUAAAGCGUCCGCAGGUGGCACUUCAAGUCUGCUGUCAAAGGUCGGGGCUUAACCCCGGGAAGGCAGUGGAAACUGAAGCGCUA
Molecule: ribosomal RNA, 535 nt
Filed under: uncultured cyanobacterium
Lineage: Bacteria; Bacillati; Cyanobacteriota
Description: bacterial SSU rRNA
Rfam family: Bacterial small subunit ribosomal RNA
Source: RNAcentral